This 594-nucleotide ribosomal RNA is filed under the name uncultured bacterium. RNAcentral's name for it is "bacterial SSU rRNA". It matches the Rfam family "Bacterial small subunit ribosomal RNA", at positions 338 to 946 of the family's 1533-position model. The record is from RNAcentral.
CCUACGGGAGGCAGCAGUGGGGAAUCUUGCGCAAUGGGCGAAAGCCUGACGCAGCAACGCCGCGUGCGGGAAGAAGGCUUUCGGGCUGUAAACCGCUUUCAGCAGGAACGAAAAUGACGGUACCUGCAGAAGAAGGAGCGGCCAACUAUGUGCCAGCAGCCGCGGUGAUACAUAGGCUUCAAGCGUUGUCCGGAUUUAUUGGGCGUAAAGAGUUCGUAGGCGGUCGAGUAAGUCGGGUGUGAAAAUUCUGGGCUCAACCCAGAGACGCCACCCGAUACUGCUUGACUUGAGUUCGAUAGGGGAGUGGGGAAUUCCUAGUGUAGCGGUGAAAUGCGCAGAUAUUAGGAGGAACACCGGUGGCGAAGGCGCCACUCUGGAUCGAUACUGACGCUGAGGAACGAAAGCAUGGGUAGCAAACAGGAUUAGAUACCCUGGUAGUCCAUGCCGUAAACGGUGGGCACUAGGUGUGGGUUUCUAUUAACGAAAUCCGCGCCGUCGCUAACGCAUUAAGUGCCCCGCCUGGGGGAGGUACGGUCGCAGACUAAACUACAAGAAUAGACGCGNGAGACGUGCCGAGCGACGACGAGGGAGAGG